UUUAGAAAAUUCAUUUAAUAGUGAGAUUAAUGGAGAAUUUAACACAACAAAAGACUUUUGAUUUUUUCUCAAUUAUUUUUGCUAGUUUUUUUAAUUUAACUAAUGUAGAAUGACACAUGUCAUUUUCUUGUGUGAUGAUGUGUCACUCAUAUGGAAAGUGUUGGCCAACUUUUAUAUAUAUGAUUCUGAGAAAGCACAAGCAAAAUUCAAUAUUCUCUCCGUCGCUAAAAUUUUAUUGUCCACUAAUAAACUAGUUGUAACUGAAUUUUUUUUUUUGGUGAAUCAAAUCUUUUUAUAAUAUAUAU
Molecule: small RNA, 305 nt
Filed under: Arabidopsis thaliana (thale cress)
Lineage: Eukaryota; Viridiplantae; Streptophyta; Magnoliopsida; Brassicales; Brassicaceae
Description: ATSL002720
Source: RNAcentral